GACGAACGCUGGCGGCGUGCUUAACACAUGCAAGUCGAACGGAAAGGCCCUGCUUUUGUGUGGUGCUCGAGUGGCGAACGGGUGAGUAACACGUGAGUAACCUUCCCUUGACUUUGGGAUAACUUCAGGAAACUGGGGCUAAUACCUGAUAGGAGCUCCUGCUGCAUGGUGGGGGUUGGAACGUUUCGGCGGUUGGGGAUGGACUCGCGGCUUAUCAGCUUGUUGGUGGGGUAGUGGCUUACCAAGGCUUUGACGGGUAGCCGGCCUGAGAGGGUGACCGGCCACAUUGGGACUGAGAUACGGCCCAGACUCCUACGGGAGGCAGCAGUGGGGAAUAUUGCACAAUGGGCGGAAGCCUGAUGCAGCAACGCCGCGUGCGGGAUGAAGGCCUUCGGGUUGUAAACCGCUUUCGCCUGUGACGAAGCGUGAGUGACGGUAAUGGGUAAAGAAGCACCGGCUAACUACGUG
This 468-nucleotide ribosomal RNA is filed under the name uncultured bacterium. RNAcentral's name for it is "partial 16S ribosomal RNA". It matches the Rfam family "Bacterial small subunit ribosomal RNA", at positions 28 to 507 of the family's 1533-position model. The record is from RNAcentral.